Helianthus annuus (common sunflower) is the source of this 1796-nucleotide long non-coding RNA. RefSeq lists it as uncharacterized. Lineage: Eukaryota; Viridiplantae; Streptophyta; Magnoliopsida; Asterales; Asteraceae. The record is from RefSeq and is a predicted model, not a curated record. The transcript is spliced from 2 exons.
UACACCAAAACACACACCUUGAGUGUGUGUUCUGGUCGAUGUCUUCCACAGGAGCAAAGGAGUUCCUUUGUUCAACCCUAACUUGCCUAAAUCCAAGAAAUUGAGAGGCCAAAUCAGUCCCAAAUCGAAAUCCAAGCUCGUAUUCAUGAACACCAAGUUGAAAGGAUCACAAGUUUGACGCGUAACAAGCUAGGUGGAAGCUUGGAGUGAAAGCGGGUCAAACAAGUCGAGCAUGGAAGAAAGAGUAGCUCGGAUGCAAGGUAAGUGAAACUUACAUAAUUGUGUAGUUUACUUGUUCAUUCUAUACGUUAUAGAUGCAAUAAUGCUAAUAUUGAAGAUAUGGAUUUCCGACGUGAUUGAUACGAGUCGGAACAUAUAAAGAUGAUAAAAACCAUGUUUAUGGUAAAAAGGGGAUUCGGUAAUGAAAUCCGGGACGGGAUGGAUGUAUGAAUCAGAAGUCAAAAACCAUGUUUUUGAUUUAAUAGGCAACGUUGGGCAUAUAGGCCGAACGGGUCAAAUGGUGGUAAUAACACCAUUUGACAAUAUCGACUAAUGCAAUUGUUAAGUCUUGUGCUAACAGGAGCGAUUAGCGAUUCAGUUAAUUUCGCCCACACUAAGUGCGAUGAUAAAAGCAAGGUAUAAAUUGGGUCUAUAUGUUGACCCUAGCCAGGUACGCAUGCAUACGAUUAUAGUUAACAUACAAACUUGGUCAAAUAGGUAGUGAAAGCCCCUCGUAGUAAAUGAGGGGCUAAUGUCGACCAAAAUUCCCUUGAAGGGUAAAUUGAGCAAACAACUUAUAAAGGUUGUUUAGGAACUUAUCUUGCGAUCUUGUAACCUUUAGACGCGCAUGAAAGUUGUAGACAUAAACUUUCGAAAGUUAAAUGCUUAAAUUGUGUGUUGCCGCAAAAAUAACACAUCCGUAGGAUUAAACUCGGAAUAAAUAGUCCAUUUCGCUAAAUCCACCACAUUCAUAGUCGUGGUGGAAGAAUAGCUAAUAACAAAUUGGUGGAACUAUGAGGUACAUGAGAAAUGAGCACCGUUCGUGCUAAAAUGGUCGUAAAUACCCUUAACGGGUCAAAAUAAGAUUUUAAACGAAAACGGGUAAAUAAUUGUGUAGAACCCCGUGUUCAGUACUUAAUAUGAUUGACAAUAUUAGAAUUUAAGGGUUCAUGAUGAAUGGUGGCCAAACAAACAUGUUUGUUUGAUAAUCACAUAGUCGGGUCGAAAAUUGUUGAAAAGAUAAUAAGCCGAAGGCUUAAAAGUCUCAAUUUUAUUUAAUCCGGAUGUCGGAUUUUAACUCCAUAUGAUGGAGAAUUAAAUUACGGACGCGUAGGAAAAAGAAUCGUGUAAAACGGAUUAAAAACGAGAGGGUUAUGUCCGUUUCGGUAAGAAACAAUGAAAAAUAAACGUGCAGAGUUGACACGGGCGGGUGACUUUUUGACACGGCCGGGUGGCUGGGCUGUGAAAAAUAUAUGUUAAGCUGACACGGCCGGGUGACUUUUUGGCACGGCCGGGUGAAGGGGCUGAAAACAAAACAAAAAUAAUUUCUUGUUUUGUUACGUUAAGCACGAAAGUUGUUUAUACUCGAUUAUUAAAGUGUCAAAACUAAUUAUUUACAUGGUUUUGACCGUAGGUGAAGAUGGACCUAAUCCGGAUGAAGAUCAAGCGGCGAGCAAGAACCGAACACGCGUUAAACAAAGCUUCCGCAAUGUUGUUUCAUCAUUAUUUUAAAACGACGAAUUAAACCACUUUAUGUGGUGUUACUAUAAUUUGUAAAAGUUUUCUUUAAUCCCGUA